GGUCGGGUAGCGAGUAGUGAUACAACACCCUUAGGGGGAAAGCUGCUGGCCGACUUUGCACGGUGUUCAAGUACCCGACCGCCCCACU
RNAcentral lists this non-coding RNA (88 nucleotides) under Sodalis glossinidius str. 'morsitans'. Its description in RNAcentral is "sRNA-Xcc1". It matches the Rfam family "sRNA-Xcc1". The record is from Rfam by way of RNAcentral. Lineage: Bacteria; Pseudomonadati; Pseudomonadota; Gammaproteobacteria; Enterobacterales; Bruguierivoracaceae.